This 253-nucleotide ribosomal RNA is filed under the name uncultured Bellilinea sp. RNAcentral's name for it is "partial 16S ribosomal RNA". It matches the Rfam family "Bacterial small subunit ribosomal RNA", at positions 524 to 776 of the family's 1533-position model. Lineage: Bacteria; Bacillati; Chloroflexota; Anaerolineae; Anaerolineales; Anaerolineaceae. The record is from RNAcentral.
AACGUAGGAGCCAAGCGUUAUCCGAAUUCACUGGGCGUAAAGCGCGUGCAGGCGGCCUGUUAAGUUGGAUGUGAAAUCUCCUGGCUCAACUGGGAGGGGACGUUCAAUACUGGCGGGCUAGAGGGCAAUAGAGGGAGGUGGAAUUCCGGGUGUAGUGGUGAAAUGCGUAGAUAUCCGGAGGAACACCAGUGGCGAAAGCGGCCUCCUGGAUUGCACCUGACGCUCAGACGCGAAAGCUAGGGGAGCGAACGGG